Long non-coding RNA from Camelina sativa (false flax), 628 nucleotides. RefSeq lists it as uncharacterized. Lineage: Eukaryota; Viridiplantae; Streptophyta; Magnoliopsida; Brassicales; Brassicaceae. The record is from RefSeq and is a predicted model, not a curated record.
AAUAAAGUUUUAAUCCUUUUAUUUCUUUGAACCGUGUCUCUACACAGAUGAAACUAGAUAGUGAGAGACCCGUGUCAAAAUUCUAUUGCUUGCGUUUGGUUUUUUUUUUUUUUCUUUCUGCAUUUGUCUCUCUCUCUCUCUUUCCACACAAACGAAAAGUGGAAAGCAAAAAUCAAUUUUUCAAAAUCUGAUUCACAACCCAAUCGAAGUUCCCGUCGAUCUCGAAGUUCGUUUUGGUUUAUAGGCCUCAAUCUCUGAAUCUGCGUUAGAAAAGCUAAGCAAGAGCAGUCAAUUCCAUGGCGGUUUGCAUAUGGACUUGCUCUGCCACUAGGGAGUGAUGAUGGUGUUCAACCUCCGGAGAAUACCAAAAUUAGAACUUGUCAAGUUGGACAUGAGGAAUUUAGUGGUUUGAGUUAUCAAAAGUUGGACUAGGCUAGAAAAACAAAAUUAUAAGAUAAGAUGUAUUGAUUACUAGUUAGUUUUUAAAUCGUGGUGUAAUGAGAUAGAAAAAACCUACUUUUGUUGUUAUUAGACUUUGAGGACUCUCAAAACUAGUAGCAAUUGUUUAAAUUUAAGCAUGUGCAUGUAUUUACUAUUUUAUUGAGGACUGAUUAUUAAUUUAGACAAA